RNAcentral lists this ribosomal RNA (262 nucleotides) under uncultured bacterium. Its description in RNAcentral is "partial 16S ribosomal RNA". It matches the Rfam family "Bacterial small subunit ribosomal RNA", at positions 793 to 1055 of the family's 1533-position model. The record is from RNAcentral.
GUCCACGCCGUAAACGUUGGGCACUAGGUGUGGGGUCUUAUCAACGGAUUCCGUGCCGUAGCUAACGCAUUAAGUGCCCCGCCUGGGGAGUACGGCCGCAAGGCUAAAACUCAAAGGAAUUGACGGGGGCCCGCACAAGCGGCGGAGCAUGUUGCUUAAUUCGAGGCAACGCGAAGAACCUUACCUGGAUUGAACUACGCAGGAAAAGCCACAGAGAUGUGGUGUCCUUCGGGGCCUGUGAUAGGUGGUGCAUGGCUGUCGU